Molecule: long non-coding RNA, 297 nt
Filed under: Daucus carota (carrot)
Lineage: Eukaryota; Viridiplantae; Streptophyta; Magnoliopsida; Apiales; Apiaceae
Description: long non-coding RNA (DCAR_LNC007146)
Source: RNAcentral
AAUAAUACAAUGCAAUGCAUGAAUGCAACUACGUGAUGAAUGAGUAAACUAUGAAGUAAUUGCCUUGCCAAUUAUAAUACCUCAGAUUGUGCUAAUGUUCUCGAAUUUCAUCUCUCUCGCUACUAAGUCAAUUACUCUUCUAUUUACAAGUGUGGAGUGCCAAUGUGUGCAAGCAUGCUCUUUUAUUGAGACAAGAUAAAAACUACUACUCCCACAGAAUCCCAAUCAAGAAUCGUAAAAGUUUAAAACUAACACCCCGUCACUCAAGUCCAACUAAAAGCCAAGGUCCCAAAGAAU